UGAGUCGGCGAUUCUGCCCAGAAUAAGGUGC
RNAcentral lists this non-coding RNA (31 nucleotides) under Mus musculus (house mouse). Lineage: Eukaryota; Metazoa; Chordata; Mammalia; Rodentia; Muridae. The record is from RNAcentral.